GCUAAUCUGCGAUAAGCGUCGGUAAGGUGAUAUGAACCGUUAUAACCGGCGAUUUCCGAAUGGGGAAACCCAGUGUGAUUCGUCACACUAUCAUUAACUGAAUCCAUAGGUUAAUGAGGCGAACCGGGGGAACUGAAACAUCUAAGUACCCCGAGGAAAAGAAAUCAACCGAGAUUCCCCCAGUAGCGGCGAGCGAACGGGGAGGAGCCCAGAGCCUGAAUCAGUGUGUGUGUUAGUGGAAGCGUCUGGAAAGGCGCGCGAUACAGGGUGACAGCCCCGUACACAAAAAUGCACAUGCUGUGAGCUCGAUGAGUAGGGCGGGACACGUGGUAUCCUGUCUGAAUAUGGGGGGACCAUCCUCCAAGGCUAAAUACUCCUGACUGACCGAUAGUGAACCAGUACCGUGAGGGAAAGGCGAAAAGAACCCCGGCGAGGGGAGUGAAAAAGAACCUGAAACCGUGUACGUACAAGCAGUGGGAGCCUCUUUAUGGGGUGACUGCGUACCUUUUGUAUAAUGGGUCAGCGACUUAUAUUCUGUAGCAAGGUUAACCGAAUAGGGGAGCCGAAGGGAAACCGAGUCUUAACUGGGCGUUAAGUUGCAGGGUAUAGACCCGAAACCCGGUGAUCUAGCCAUGGGCAGGUUGAAGGUUGGGUAACACUAACUGGAGGACCGAACCGACUAAUGUUGAAAAAUUAGCGGAUGACUUGUGGCUGGGGGUGAAAGGCCAAUCAAACCGGGAGAUAGCUGGUUCUCCCCGAAAGCUAUUUAGGUAGCGCCUCGUGAAUUCAUCUCCGGGGGUAGAGCACUGUUUCGGCAAGGGGGUCAUCCCGACUUACCAACCCGAUGCAAACUGCGAAUACCGGAGAAUGUUAUCACGGGAGACACACGGCGGGUGCUAACGUCCGUCGUGAAGAGGGAAACAACCCAGACCGCCAGCUAAGGUCCCAAAGUCAUGGUUAAGUGGGAAACGAUGUGGGAAGGCCCAGACAGCCAGGAUGUUGGCUUAGAAGCAGCCAUCAUUUAAAGAAAGCGUAAUAGCUCACUGGUCGAGUCGGCCUGCGCGGAAGAUGUAACGGGGCUAAACCAUGCACCGAAGCUGCGGCAGCGACGCUUAUGCGUUGUUGGGUAGGGGAGCGUUCUGUAAGCCUGCGAAGGUGUACUGUGAGG
This 1168-nucleotide ribosomal RNA is filed under the name Escherichia coli. RNAcentral describes it as "partial 23S ribosomal RNA". It matches the Rfam family "Bacterial large subunit ribosomal RNA", at positions 60 to 1268 of the family's 2925-position model. The record is from RNAcentral. Lineage: Bacteria; Pseudomonadati; Pseudomonadota; Gammaproteobacteria; Enterobacterales; Enterobacteriaceae.